CAAAGGAUAAUGGAAACUUGUGCAUCCGUGUGUAAAGAGUGCCCUAUGAGAGACAACGGGAAAAGGUGGUUAUAGGUAAAAAACUAUCAAAGAGAACGC
Molecule: long non-coding RNA, 99 nt
Organism: Sinocyclocheilus grahami
Lineage: Eukaryota; Metazoa; Chordata; Actinopteri; Cypriniformes; Cyprinidae
Exons: 2
Source: RefSeq, a predicted model, not a curated record